UCUCAACUGUUGAGAUAUAAGGUUACCUUUCUGUCUUUGUAACUUCCAGAUCUUCAUAAAAGGAAAUCGCAAAAUUAAAAUUUCAACCAUAAAGGUGAAAGAAUUGUGUAAAAUAAGCUCUGAAGUUUCCUUAAAAUCUAACAUUUUAUAUUGUAGAUGACCAGUAGGUUUUAGAUUAUUGCACUGGAUAUUAACAUUUUAAUUCUUCCAAUUUGUUGGAUACUUAGCCGAACAAUUUAUAUUGAAAAUAACAAGAGAUUUUAAAAUCAUGUAUAUCUGACUUACCCUUUGGCUUGGAGAAACAGACACAGGUCAAUUAUAGAUUAUUCAUUUGUUAUUUUAAUUAAAUUAUAUGGACUGUGGCUUGCUAAUGCUCAAGACAGAAAAUGAAAGUGUUUUCUGCCCUUUUCCCUACACUAAGGGAUUAUUGAGAUAAUGACCUAAUAGUCUGGGUUGUGUAUAUGUCAGAAAAACUUCAUUUUAUUAAUAAGUGAUACUACAGAUACUGCCCAUUUAUUAUAUUGAUAGCAGCUGUGGAUAUGAGAAGAGUGGACCUAUAUAUGUCCAUAUAUAGGUAUAACCAAUAUAUAUGUAUAACAUAUAUAUGUCCAUAUAUAUGUAUAACCAAACCACAGGUGUUUUUUUGGAAGUCAUAUUAUACAGGGAGUUGACAGAGGUGUGAGCUGGACUUUAAGAAGCUGCACAUAAGAUGCUAGUAUGAUCAAGCUGGAAUGGACUUAGACAAUUUGAAACAACUUUUCUCAGUUUUCAGAUGAGGAAACUGACGGGUACCAAGCUUAAAUGACUUGACGAAGCUCAUAGAAGAUUAGCAGGUAGUAGAAUAAUGACUGCUGACUCCUAAUUCAGUGGAUCUUCCCUGGCCACCGUUUUGUAUUGAGCUGCAAUGCUUCCUUGACUGUUCUCCAUGCCAGAUUCUUAUCAAUGAUCUUUCACCUAAGAAACAGCAAAGAUUCUGGCAAGCACACGAUCUAGAGAUACAUCUUAUUGCGAUUUUUCACAAAAAUCAAAAGAAGAAAGAAGGCUUAGCUGGUGUUUAAUUAUUGUUAUUUUUUUCAAUAGGGAAAUCUGUACACAAUGAUUUAUCUCCAGUGAUUUGCCAUUGAUCAAUUUUUUUCUCAUUUCAUUUUCUAUUUUUUUGUUUUUUGUUUUUCUUUAUUUUUUAUUUUUUUCUCCUUUUUCUUUUUUUAAAUUUUCUGUUUAUCACAAAUGAUCAUGUAAUUAUAUGUUAAUACUAUGUAACCCCAGUGUUUUCAACUGUUUGUGAUUCAAUGUUACCCAGUUUUCUUUUCUUAAUUUUAAAUAAAUUUGAAAAAUUAUCUUAGAGUGUUUUGAGCCUGUGUUGGUACAUUUAGUUCUAGUUCAUUGUGGUAAAUCCACUUCAGUUUCUAAGUUUCCACCCUUUAGUAAAGACAUAUUUCUAAAUUUGGUUUAUAUCCUCAGUUACAAAAGAUUCUAACUGCUAGUUUUGUGACAGCAAUCACACAUACCAUCAAGGGAUGGGGCAGGCAGUUUUGGAAUGUGCUGAUGCUAGCAUUUUUAUAAGCCUAUGGCUUUUAUAGUCUAAAUUGUUCUUAUUUCUAUUAAUGCUUCAAUUUUUGACAAACACACAACCAUAGAAACAAAUAAUAAAUUUGUUUUUUGGGAAUUAUCCAGGAUUCUUGGUUAAGUGGGGAAUUUAGGCUUUGACAGCAUAAAGGAUCACGGAUAAGUAUUUUUCACGGUGGCUCUAAUUAUAAUGCUGAGCAUGUGGCAGGCACAGAAAUAUUUACUCAUUGACUGAAUAUAGCACAUCGUAAUGUUGAUUUUUUUCCAACAUAAUUUUAGAGCUAGGCAUAUUGUAUUCUAUUACACUAGACUAUAUAUCAUUCUUAAAUAGAACCAGCCUUGCUAGAUAACACAUGUUGGAGGAGAGGCCCUUCUUCUUAGCCCUCAGUGUUUCCAUCUAUGGGGAAGAAGUUCCACCAUACUAACAUUACUAUCGUCUCUCCACCUGCUCACUCACUUCUCCCCAAGGGAGGGGUGUUCGAUAUGGUUUCUGAGCUUGGAAAGAAAACUCAGGCAUGUGUAACAUGGUUCCUUCAGUCCCAUGACCCACUGUCCACAAAUGGGCUGCUCACAGAGUGCAUGCCUUCACCCUUGUUCCUGGCCAUGCAGGAAAUUGUAUGAAACAGUCCUAGCUGAAGCCUGAGAUUUUCCUGCAUUGCCUAGUCCUGGUGGGUAUCUGUCUACUCCUGGAGUUUGGAUUGGAAAGUCCACAUGCCUGAAGGUAUAAACCUAUUCUACAAAGGGGUGUUUUCUAGAAUGAAGGUAAUAUUUUUAUCUUACAUUUGCAGAAAGAGACAGAACAAUGUUAUAGGUGAGUGCAUGGACAAUGACCUCAAACAGCUAAGAUUCAAACCCCUGCGUUGAAUGAUUGAAUUGAAAUGAUUCAAUGAGCUAAUGUACAUAAAGCAUCCAGAAUGUUGCCUGGCACAAGGUAAAUGCUCUACAAAUGUCUGAUAUUAAUGUUAGCCUUUUGUUUCCCCGUUCAGUUGGUUCAGAACGUAGACAUUAUGUACUGGCUCUGCCUCACACCUCAAUAACAGAGAUUUCUUAAAGAAUAACUUAUAAACUCUUUUCAACUUCAAAUCACUCCGUGAUUAGGCUUAUCUUAUACCUUACUAGUUCUUAGCACCAGAAUUAUUUUUCCAAUUGUAGAACUAAUCAUGUUUCUCUGAAAUUCUUAAUUCGUGCAGACCUCUCAGUGGGGCUUCAAACUCUCACAGUCAGACCUCAGCAUACGUUUCCAGCCUUGUCUUCCUUACACACUGUGCUUUGGCACGAGUCUACCAUUGCUCACGGUUCCUGAAUCACAUGCAGUCUUCACACCAUGCAGCUUUGCUCUUUCUGCUUUGAGGGCUUUCCCCCUGCUCUGCUUGAUAGAUCAGAGCCCACCCUUCAUGGCCCAGCUCACAGGCCUACUCCUUUGUGAAACCUUUUCUUCUUACUCCCCAUUCAUGGAGGCCUCAUCUGUUGUGAAAGCAAAAGAACAUCUCAUUGCUGCUGUAACCCUUACUCACUUGAAUUUUAUGAAAAUUACGUGAACUCUGAGCUUCUGAAGGUCUUGGCCAGAGGGUCAGGUUCUCUUUACUUUUGUAUACUCAUCUCACCCAGCCCCUAACACAGUGACUUGCUCUUCAAUGAUUACCCAAGUAUGAGUCCAUCAAGGAAUUCUAUCAGAGUCUUUUCCAAAAUACCAACCAAACACAUCUACCUCUUUCCAUCUCCAUCUGAUCACCAUUAUCUCUGACUGGGUCUACUGUGGAAGCCUCCUAAAUUUUCUCCCUGCCUCUGUGCUGGCCCUAAUUUGGGUUAUUCCCUAAAUGGCCAUUGGAAUAAUGGAGUUAAGAUAUAAACCAAAUUAGGUUACCUCCCCACAUAAUACUGAAACCUCAAUUUUGAUCUUUCUGCACCUGCCCCUCUUUCACAUCUCAUAUUUUAUAAUCCCCCAUCUGCACCCUCACUCACUGAACUCUACUGACACUUCUCUCCUUUUCUCCUUUUGGUUUCUCAGACAGCCCAAACUUUUCUCAACCUCAGUCUCCUGCACACUCUUUUCCUUCUCCAUGAAAUGCUUAAGUCUUAACUUUUUUUUUUUUUUUUGACAGGGUCUUGCUCUGUCUCCCAGGCUGGAGUGCAAUGGCAUGAUCAAAGUUCACUGCAGCCUUGACCUCCUGGGUUCAACCAAUCCUCCUUCCUCAGCCUCUCACGUUGGUGGGACCACAGGCAUGCACCACCAUGCCCAGCUAAUUUUAAUUAUUUUUUUUUAGAGACAGGGUGUCACCAUCUUGCCCAGGUUUGUCUAGAAUUUCUGUGCUAAAGUGAUCUUCUCACCUUGGCCUCCCAAAGUGCUGGGAUUACAGGCCAUGAGCCAUGAUCUAGGCCAUGACUAGAUAUUGUUGUCCUUUAAGUUUCAGAUUACAAACCUCCUCCUAAGACACCCCGGCCCUCAGUCUAAGUUGAACACCCCCUCUGCGUAAUUCAUUAUACUGUGUAGUUGUAACCCUCAGAGCCUCAUUGUUUUUUUCACUGCAUUCAUAAGGAUUGGUAACAAUCUUUCUUCAGUGUGGGUUUUCCAAUGGUAUUAUCUGUUUUCUCCACUAGGCUAAAACUCCAUGAUGGCAGGAAUGAAGCCCAUCUUGUUAUCACUGUGUCCUGAGAAAUGAGCACAAACAGGAUGCAUGAGAGAACUGUGCUCAGUAAAAAACAGUUCACAGAUAGACUCUGAGGUCUUAAAAAUUCUCCAAGCAGAAACAGGACCCAGAGAGUACCUGGUUAAAGUCCUUCAUUUUACAAAGGGGAAAAUCAAGAUCCAGGACUUGUAAUGAGUUCUCCUAAUGCCCCAAGUCAGUGUCUGCCCAAAGGUCUCUGGUUUUUAGGGUAUCCUUCAUUAUCAAGUUCUCUUGCUUUAGGCUUCUGGAAACUAGCCAAUAACUGUAGAUUAUUAAUAAAGUAAUAUAACAGGAAAAUCAAAUGCUUCCUACACAACCUUUCACUGAGAAAUGAAAGCAAAGCCUAAGGAAAUGCCAUCUGACUAAUUUCUAACCAAUGCAAAUCUUCUCUCUUAGUCACCCCUAACAAAAAUGUCAAUGUUCUAUAAGCACAGUGAGAGGUGCCAAGGCCCAAGGCAGCUUUUUAGAUCUGCUCUGCCUCACAGAAGGGUCUAGGAUCUACUGCACAGUGGAGUGGCUCAGAGUUGCACUUGUUUAUUGGGCAAAUAGAGAAAAUCCAGAACCUUCAACAAACACCCUCUUUCUUCUAUGCCGUGGAGGGUUUUCUACCAUUAUCUGUGGCAUAUUUGUUAAUUGGUUGCCUUUAUUCAUGUUCCUGCUUCUUUUCCUCUUCAAGCCUCAAUGUUGUCAUCUCUAAAAUAGAGUGAUUGAUAUUGGCAGUCUUUUUAGCCUUGGCAUUCUUUGACCAGGAUUCUCCAAACAGAAACAAGAUCUAGAGAGUACCUGGUCCUGUUUCUGCUGUACAGUUAGUUCUCAACUUCAAAGGAUAAAUAUGAUUUGCUGAGCACAUUACUUAGGAUCUACCAUGCAUGGGAAAUUAGAUAAUCAUUUCAGCUCCUAAUUGCAUCCUCUAUUGUCCUGAGCAAGUAUAAGAUGCUGGUGAAUCCUGGAGCUAACACUUAGGUUUUCUGUUCCUUAGGACUGUAUUGUCUGCUAGACCAUUUAUUCAAAGUGGGAGGAUGAUGUUCUAAAAGCCAAUGAUAAAGCUCAUGGCAAUGCAGGGUAUAUCUGAUGGCAUGGAAUGCUUUAGGAUGGCCAAGAUUGCCCAUCAAAUGCCAAGUCACCGAAGGUACUCAUUUAUUCUAAAAAUAUCCACUAAGCAACCCUUUCUAAUAUGUGUUGUUCUAGGUUCUGGGAAAUAAGAAAUCAUUAGAAAAAGAUUUCUGCCUUCUAGAAGUACACAGUCUAAUGGUGAGAUAGGCAGGUAAGCUAUUACAACACAGUGAGAUAUGCACACGAGUAAAGCUGUUUUUCUUUGGUGUGCUCACAGUAAAGGGUAUAACUAACUCCAUCUGUGGGCUUCAGAAAGGGCUUCCCAGAGGAGGAUAUUUGAACUAGCUCUUGAAGGAUGAGAAAGAGUUUGCUUCAUAGAGAUAAAGGAGAGGAUAACAGCAGGUAGCAAAGCAGCAGUACACAAAGGUACUGAGUCCAGGCCUGGUCUCCUUUGGAAAUGGAGGAGGAGUAUAAGAGAAUUUUGUGGUAACAUCAGUAAGGAAAAAGAUGAAGGAGGGAGAGUAGAAAUGAGGCUGGAUGGGCGGUUUUGGAGGCCAACUGAGGAGGGUCUUACAUGCUAUGUUAACAGGCCUAGACUUCAUUCUAUAUGCAAACAGGGAGAUCCGGACUAAUGAGGGGUAUGUGUGUGUCCUUGUAUGUGCAUGUGCACGAAGGUGACAUAAUCAGGUAUGACUUUUAGAUGAUACUUGGUGACAAAGGAAGGGUGGAGAAUGUAAACUAGAGAAGCCUGGGAUAAUAUGGCUGCUUGGGAAUGGUGAGAAUUCUGGCAGCUGCAUUGCUGAUGAGUAAAGUGGAGGGAAGCUUUGGAAAAGUGUUUAGGGCCAAUCAGUAGAAGGUCAUACAUUCAUACUAAAGGGUUUGUUUCAAUAAGUAUAGCUAAAGAAUCCCACUCAUAGCUUUUUUUCCUGUGGUUUACAUGACAGUUAUUAAUGGCUCUCCUACUAGGAGCCUGACAUCAUGGUGAGCAUCGAGAAAGGAAUAACCUAAGCUGAAGACACGCCUUUUCAGGAGGCCAAGUUCCACGUUCUGUGCAUGCUUUUGGCGAAAGUCAGGUAAAGCCUCCAGAAAUGCAUGGUCUAUUCUCUCGGACCAUAUGGCUGUGGGCAAACUCUGGCUUCUUGGAGCCUCCAUUAGCCACCUAGGGAAAGGUAAUUGGCUUUAUGUUUGGCUCCAUCACUGCUGGCGACAAGCUCCACUGCAUUCUCAAGCAGUAGAUGAAAUACAACUGUGCUCCUGAAUGCAGCAAAGGAAAGAGAACCCAACUGGACCAGUGUGAAAUUGGGACCUUUGGAGGCAAGAAUGCACAUAUUUAUAAAUGAAUAAACAUAAUUUUUCUCUCUUCUUCCCAUUGGCAGCAUAUCUGAAGGCCCUGACUCAACAGUAGUGGGUCUUAAUGCUUGUGCUUGUCCACCCUUCUCGGCAGUGAUUGAUUUCAUUGUUGGCUUGUUUUCAUGACUUGAAUGUGCGAUCUUCAGAGGGCCUAAUUCCUUGCAAGUUCCAUUUGAGGGUGGAAGAGCUAGAACAAGCUAUAACCAGUAGACAACUCCGUGACUCAGGAGCUUAAGCAUGUGACUAAUUAGUAAGAAAAAAUGUGGUGAAGAUUUGUAGUUAAUAAGAAGGAAAGAAGAAUCACUGGGGCUAGAAUUAUGCAAGCUUUUGUUUCCUUUUGGGACUAUAUCAGAACUAUGAGAGAAGAAAGGCUACCUUUUACCUUUGAGGAAUUUUCAAAGCCUUUUUUUUUUUUUUUGGUUGGUUUGUGACUGACAAAGGGCACAAUUUCAACACCUCAGAAAAAUGCCUCAUCAUUUCCUCUUGUGAAAUCUGGGUGCUUCUGAAUGAAUCCAUGUUAGGAAUGUGUACUUCCAUCCAUUAAAGUCAAUGUCCAGUCUCAUUUUGGGCCAGAGGCUGUUACUAAGUUGUAGUACUGGUGAGAAAAGGACAGAGCAUUUACCUUCCCUGGGUAUCCUGUGACCUACAUGUGUCCUUGCAAGGCAGGGAAAUGUUACUAAUUAAGAGCAUAGCCUUUCGUCAGAUGGGUUCAGAUCCUAACACAUCCUCUUUCUGGUUACAGGACAGUCCUCUCUGAGCCUCAGUUUUCUCAUCUCUAAGAUGAGGCUAAUUAUACCUACUUCCCAGGGGGGUACUAAGGAUAAAGUAACAACACAAGAAAAUUUUUUAUCCUUGAUUUUCUUAGCUGGAAAAUUAGGCUAGAAAGACCUCCAUCCUUGGGGUAUUUAAAAUAAAAGGACAAACAUAUGAUGAGUCUAAGUGAUCAAUACAUUGUGGCUUUUGUACUUACUAUUCUGAAACAUGGGUGUGGCCUAGAUACUUUCCAAAAUUCUGCCCUCUCCACCUAGCAAAAUGACAACCAGACUUACAGAUAUGCCAACAAGCUAGUGUUUAAUAAUGGUGUUUGAUGAUAAAUGGCAUUUCUUUUCGACAUUUGUCUCUUUUUAAAACUUGGUGCUCUUAAAUGCAUCAUUGGAUAAGUGAUGACUGUUCCCAUUCGCAAGAAGAGACCUGGAAUCUAAGCAUGAAGGACCUGUCCUGAUGUUGAGAAGUGUGGAUCACAUUUAUUUGUAAACUUAGCUUCUUGCUCGUCUCAUGGUUGCUUUUUUUUCUUUUUCCUUUUUCUUUUUUUUUUUUUUUUUUUUUUUUUUUUUUUUGAGAGGGAGUCUCACUCUGUCACCCAGGCUGGAGUGCAGUGGUGUGAUCCCGGCUCACUGCAACCUCCACCUCCCGGUUUCAAGCAAUUCUCCUGCUUCAGCCUCCCCAGAAGCUGGGAUUACAGGCACGUGCCACCAUACCCGGCUAACUUUUUUUUUUUUUUUUUUUUUUUUUUGGGAUUUUUAGUAGAGAUGGGGUUUUGCCAUAUUGGUCAGGCUGGUCUCGAACUCCUGACUUCGUGGUCCGCCCACCCGCCUCAGCUUCCCAAAGUAUUAGGAUUACUGGCGUGAGCUACCGCGCCUGGCCUUAUGGUUUUUCUCAUUUUUUCUUCCCUUCCUCCCUCGAUUCCUUUGUUCCUUUUACUCUACCAUGCCUACUGUAAAGAAUAAACAAUAGAUUGGAUCUACUCUCAAGAUGCAGGAUAGAGAAAACCAUCAUUUAUUAAAUGGCAUCUACACCGCAGGCUUUGUACCAGGCACACACUCCACUGUUCCCAGUUAUCCCUUACUGCACCCCUAGAGGUAUAUGUUUUCCCAGAAAAGAUAAACAAGUUGCCCAAAGUCACAUAUCACAUAGCUAGCAAGCGAACAUGGGGCUGAAAUAAAACACUGCCCAAUUCCAAAAUCCAUAUACUUGUUUCUUCAUGUUUCCCUAUGAAAAUGGCAAAGGUGAGGAGUGUGUGGUGUGUGUGCGUGUGCGCGUGCAUGUGCGUGUGUGUUUGCACAUGGAAAAUUCCAAAUAUCACAACUUCUCUAUAGACACUAGACUCAUUCUUUGGCUAUGGCUGUGUCCGUUAUCCCAAACUCUAUCUUUACCCCAGUUUUUACACUUGCAAAAGUAGAGAAACUUUAAGGUCCACCAGCUUUUACUAACCUCCCUCUUGCUCUGAUAGCUGUGUAAUAAUUUUUGUAUCCUUCCCAGUGGGUUCCCAGUCUUUUCAUCUGCUAGGACCAUCUGGUAACUCAUCACCAAACAUGGUGCCUGACAGCAUCACUGGUGCCCUGCAAAUGUCCACCUGAUAAAUGAGUGAAUUAAUGAAUGAAUAAGAAAAUGAAGGAUACUGGCUGCCCCUGGCCAACUAUAUCUUGGCUUUGGCUUGUCAUUCUAGAUUUGUGAUACUGGCUUCUAGCAGAAGCUUAAAGCCUCUUUUUUGUUCUUUUGUUCCUCUAAUGUACUCCCCCUGCCCCUCCACCAAGAUGGGAAGGAGGGCUGAUCUGAGCAUUCAGGUUUCAGAAUGCUAAUUGGAUAGCAGCCAAUUAGAAGUAGAUCCGUAAGGAUUUAAUUAGACUUUCUGGGUAGAUUUGGAUAUUGCUUUCAAAAUGAAAAGGCCCCAAAUCCAGGUUCCCCUGGAUUAUAAUAGUUUUAUGGCUCUGCCCUGCUUUAAUUUGAGGCUAGUUGGCAAUACCCUGUCCAGGAAAAAGGAAUCUUCCAUGUAGUCCUGUCUGUUCUACUGAGGUCUACAUUUGGGUUUUAGCAAACAAUUCAGCUAAUAUAUAUUAUUUUUCUUUGUUCUCAAGGAUUUAAUGGCAAGAUGCCAUUAUAGACAAGAACAGGAUUCAGACACUUUCGUGUUAUGUGUUCUUGUCCAAAUACUGUGUCACUCUGCACUGGCAUCCCAAUCCCACCAACACCUUUAGCAGGAACUUCCUGUUUCAAUAACAUUUCUCAAUACUCUACCUGAUUGCUUAGAAUCCAUGAGACAGCCAUAUUCUCCAUGUCUAGGUCCCUAUCUUAUUUUUGUUGAGAUGGUGUUAAGACUUUAUUUGUGAGGCUUCUGGGGAAGAGGAGUAAGGUAUUGAUCCCACUGACUGGAUAAUUUGGGUCUCAAAAUGGAUAAUAAAUAAGCAUUACAUAUUUUGACCACUUCCUUGGAGGAGAACUUCUUGGAAUGUGCACCAUGUCCGCUGCACUUUUUUUGCACAGAUAUCUAAGUUGGAGAAACAUACUACUAGAUAAAUCAAUUUGUUCUCUUAGUACUCAUGAUAUGGUUCCUGGGAACUUCUGAUUCACCAAAUUAAUCUUGGCCAGGUACAUACCUGGCAGGAAUCCAAAAAUUCCCCAAGUCUCCUUGAAGUUCAGGAUCAUCAUUCUUAAUAAAUACACCGAGGGAAAAACCAUGGAGAGUUUGUCCCAGAUGCUGUGAAUCUGGCCCGGGGUACAUGAAGAAGUCCUUAAUUGCAGUCAUUUACAUGGUAGAUUCUCUAUAAUCAUUUAAUUUGCUAUAGGUCUAUGAUUUUUAGUCCUUCUUCUCUAAAUGAUUGAACAUGUAUAAUUCCCAUUUCAAUCAUAUUACCUGGAUGAACAAAAGUAACGCUAGACUCAUUCAUGCAUUCUGGUUGCCAAGGAAAAGGAAAAAAAAAACAAAACAAUCAACAGGAUGUUUAAACUGUCUUAGGGCAACUUCAGGCCAUAGUCACUGGUGUUCUUGCAGACUAUGAGAUAUUUUACAUUCUGAUAAGGGAUAAAAAUUCGUGCCUCACAUGGCUCCCAUCACACUAAGAUCUUGCAACAAUAACACUACUGAUUCAGACAUUAAUCUUAAGUAUCCAGGGAGCCCUAAAACAUUGUAUCCCACUAGCAAGGACCAUGGUAAUUGCCACGUAAAUCCCCUCCAUUAUGUGGCCCUUAUUAUGACCAGCCAGCCAAGGCUUGCCUUUAAAUCAUACCAAUUGAACCGAGCCUUGUAGAAACACUAUCACCUACGCAUACCUCUGCUUCUUUUCAUUAACCUGCUAUCCUCUUUACAAAUGGGAUUCUUCACCCACUCCCUUCUUCUAGAUUAGCAAUGCCCUGUUAAGUAAACGAACACGAAAUUCAAAGGGAAACAGGAGCAAUCAUCAUUACCAGCUGCCGUGUUAAGCAUUGCGAAAACGCUCACGAUUCACAGAAAAAUCCAUGCUGUUCUUUGAAGGCAUUCAAGCCUUAAUAGCUAGCUGGAUGAAUGUUUAACUUCUAGGCCAGGCACUACUCUGUCCCAACAAUAAGCCCUGUACAUUGGGAAAGGUGCCGAGACAUGAACUUUGGUCUUCUCUGCAAUCCAUCUGGAGCAUUCACUGACAACAUCGACUUUGAAGUUGCACUGACCUGGCCAGCCCUGCCACUUACCAGCUCUGUAUGGCUAAGCGUUUUCUCCUAAAAUCCCUUGAAAACUGUGAGAAGACCAUAAGAAGAUCAUAUCUUUAAUUCUAUUUCACAAGUCACACAAUAUUCCAAUCAAAUACAGAUGGUUGAGAAAAGUCAUCCAUCUUCCCUCCCCACCCUCCCACAGCCCCUCAACCACUGCCCUGAAACUUAUAUGCUGUUAUCCGCAGCUCCAUCUGGAGCAUCACAGCUACUGUCAACCCUGACGCUCUUUCUGAAAAAACACCGGAUGGACAUCAGAACUAUUUCUUUAAGGAUGUUACUGAGCCACACAGGAAAACUUGCCUUAUGAUUUUGAAUGCACGGAUCUGAUUUGACUAAACAUGAUAACUAGAGAAUCACCCAAUCUACUCCCAUUUUCAACUCUAAAUCAUCAGAGUGUCUCAAAUCCAAAGCACACACAGACCAGCCUGGCCAACACGGUGAAACUCCACCCCUACUAAAAGUAUAAAAAUUAUCCAGGUGUGGUGGCGGGCGCCUGUAAUCCAAGCUACUUGGGAGUCUGGAGGCAGGAGAAUCCCUUGAACCUGGGAGAUGGAGGUUGCAGUGAGCAGAGAUCACACCACCGCACUCUAGCCUGGGCCACAAAUCAACAACAACAACAACAACAAAAAACAAAGCGCACACAGAGACUGAGGUCCUCUUUGGCAUUGAGAAGAUGGCUAUGCAAGUCCCAACUAGCAAGUGCAAACUUCCCAGCUUCACUUCUGCCAGUGUCCCUUCACCCCUUCUCAACCCCACUGGGAGGCAGGAGGGUGCUUGACAAUAACAGCCUUGGCAUCACUCUGCCAGGGUGUAAUAGGAACUGUUACAAUUCUGAGAUUCUGUGUAAGCACUGGCCUUUCUGCCUAGAAUGCCUUCUCCUCUCUUUUUUAACUGCAUGCUCCUAUUUAUCUUUCAAAGCCCGGAAAAAAUAACACUGCACACGGGAAAUGCUCCCUUCCUACUGCAGUCAUUUAGAUGACUCUAUGCCAUUCCAUUCAUUUCUCUUUCCUACCACAGAAGUGCUUUGAGAUUUUGGAGUCAGACUGCUUGAACUUGAAUCCUGGCCCUCUCAUCAGAGACUUGACUUAUUUUAGGCAAGUUAUAUAACCAAUUUUACCUCAGUUCCUUACCCAUAAAAUGGGUCUAAUGAGAGUACCUACCACACAGAAUUUUGAUGAAAACUGAAUGAGAUGAAGGCCUUUAAGGCAGUGGUCCCCAACCCUGGGGACACAGACAGGUACCAUUUUGUGGCCUGUUAGGAACUGGGCCACACAGCAGGAGGUGAGCAGUGGGUGAGUGAGAUCAGCGUUAUUUACAGCUGCUCCCCAUUGCUCACCUUACUGCCUGAGCUCCACCUCCUGUCAGAUCAGCAGUGGCAUUAAAUUCUCAUAGCAGCACAAACCCUGUCAUGAACUGCACAUGCGAGGGAUCUAGGUUGUGCGCUCCUUAUGAGAAUCUAAUGCCUAAUGACCUGUCACCGUCUCCCAUCACCCCUAGAUGGGAGUGUCUAGUUGCAGGAAACAAGCUCAGGGCUUCCACUGAUUCUACAUUAUGGUGAGUUGUAUAAUUAUUUCAUUAUAUAAUACAAUGUAAUAAUAAUAGAAACACAGUGCACAACAAAUGUAAUGUGCUUGAAUCAUCCCCAAACCAUCCCAGUCCACGGUCUUCCACAUUUUGUCUUUUCACAAAAUUGUCUUCCACAAAACUGGUCCCUGGUGCCAAAAAGGCUUGGGACCACUGCUUUAAAGCCUUUGCAUAGUGCUUAGAAUUGAGGGGGAAAAAAAAAACAAAAACAAUGUAGCUAGUUGCUACAAUCACUAUAUUGGUGAGUUUCAAAAGGAAAAGAAUUCUGUCCCAUUUAUGCUUGAGCCUUGAGUUGCUAACCAAGCCUGACACAAAAUUACUGUUGAAGGGAUGUGUGAGUCCUAAUUGAAAUGAGGCCUCUUAAGGGAAUUGUGGACCAAACCCCAAGCAGGCAGAAAGCCGUAUCUUAAUUAUUGCAAGUAUUUCAGGCAAGGUGUGGAUGGCCAUUUGAAUUCAAGCAGACUAGGACCUGGGAUGAGAAAGAAGGUGUGUACGUGACUUGAUCUUUGAACUUUAGCUCACCAUCUGGAAGAAGGCUGAGUAUUCUCUGCACUCACAUAGUAGCUAAUGCCUACUCCCCAGCCACCCACAAUUCUUUCUGUAGGAAGGCUCGCUAGAAUACUUUGUGAUAUUGGAUAUUAGUUCCAUAUUCUACUGUGUAUCUUAGUUCAACCAAAUUGUAAUCAUCUGAUAUUUAUUUCUUUUAAUAUAAAUAUAAGUAUAUUAAGUCUUGGCAUGCUUGCUCAGUCUCUCUCUCUCUCCCAUUCCUCCCCGCUCCCCUCUCUCUUUCCCAACAGGCUUGGAAAGCAGGCAUCACCAUGCCUAUUUAACAGUUGGGGUCCCUUGGCCACCAGGUGCUGGAGUAGGAAUCUGAGCCCGGACAUGCCUGAUCUGUAAAUUUUGUGUUUUCCCCACUGUGCUGGGCAGAUCACAGCUAUCAGCGCCAAAUUCAUAGAAGGGGCGCCCCCUGUGGUCAAUUGAGGGAUUUGUGUUUGAGGUAGAUCUCAAGAAGGAAUGGGUGGGGAACUUAGCCUAGGACAGAGCAGAAAGGAGCCCUCACUCCCCAAGCACCAACGGCCUCAGUCCUUCCUGCUGACUCCAGCCUCUAGCUCUCACCCAGACUAUCUGCAUCCUUCUCUCCACCACGCUCCUUUGGAACCUGCGUAAAACACAGAUUAAAGGAAUUCCGCCUUACUUCCCUUUCCGCAUUAUGACCAAAUGGUUUUACACUAUCAUUGAACAGUUUAGUACAAAACAUGCCACCUUUUAAUCUAUUCAUUCAUUUAACAAAUACUUUGGAGUGUUUACCAUGUGCCAAGUGCUGUUCUAAUAGACAUAAGCUGUGAGGUUAUGCUUAUCUGAUUCUCACAGCAACAGCUUUCGAGAUAUGAAUUGGUAUACUCAUUUGACAGAUGAGGAAAUUGAAUUCAUGUAGUGAGAAAGGAAGAGCUGCAAUUCAGGGUUACUGGUUUCUCCUGCACUAAGCACUGAGCCACACUAGAAGAGAAGGCAUGAGGAAGACAAAAGUGAGAAGGUACGAGAGAAGAUAUUAAGUAGAGGUCUAUUAGUUCCUCUUAAAACUAUUUAUGAAAGAGGCGGAUGGGGUAGUGGAUGGGAAAGACAGAUGGAUUCAUGUUCUUCACUCCAGGUUUCCCCCCAUUCCCUUCCCUUUUAAAUGCCUGCUCAUUUUUUGGCUACCUUUCAAGCUCUAGGAAAUACUCUGGAAUUCCAGGCUGGGAGGGGUUUCCUUUGCAGAUCUGGCUAUUGUAACUUUACAAGAAAUUGCUCAAUACUUCCUCUCACCAGUUACAAACCACGGUUUUCUGAAUGAACUUUAUGUUCAUUAAACAGUUAACCCUUCAGCUUUCUGACUCACAUUUUUCAUGUUAUUAAUCAGCUCUUAGAGUAAGGUAAAAUCUAGAACAGACUUUAUAUACACCCUCCCUCCCACACACAUAUACAUACAUAAUACAAACACAGACCACACAUGUCCACAUCCUUAUGCGCAAACACUAAGAAACACACGCAUACACAAACAUACAUGUACACAAAAUUAAAUACAUAGCUAUGGCACUUUCACUAUACAUGUAAACACCCUUACACACAUACAAAUGUACAUGCGCGUGUGCGCACACACAUAUGGAAUUAGCUUUUUCUCUUUGUGGGAGGAGGGAAAUGAAAAGACCCAAAACAUUCAGAUUCCCAAAUGGACACGUAAGAACCCCGUCAUGGAAAUAGGUCUGGGUUUUUUUCUCUUUUGAGGGAAGCAGGGCGUUUCUGGUUACUGUCGCCAUUGCCAUUGUGCCCCUGCUUACCAUCCCCCUGCACCGCCCCCCCGGCCCCCGCCCGCCACUGCUAGGGUUUACAGGUCAUCCCUGGAUUAAAUAAGUGAUAUUGUGUUUUUUUUUCUUUGACACAAAGUAAAAUUAUAAUUAAUAUUGAAUAAAGUAAAAAUGAACUCCUGAGUUCCAGUCCCUUAUGUAACACACCUGGUUUGUGGCAGGCACUCAGGAAAUAUUAGUUGCAUGAACGAAGGCUGCAUUUUCAUUAGAACAACAUGCAGUUCAACCCCUUCAUGUUUCAAUGAGGGUUCAGAUACCCAGAGGGCUAUGCUAUCAUCCUGGAGCCCACUCUGCUAACAAUUAGCAGAACGGAAGCCUUAAUUUCCAGAUUCUAGUGAACUUGAUGAGUCAAGACUAUUGCAAUUGGAAAUCUGUUCUCCUCUGCUGCUGCAUUCCCUGCUUAAUACUCAAGCCAGAAACCAGGAAGGCUGUGGCUUGCCUUUUCACUUCUUGUGUCCUGUUUAAGAAAUAUCUGCUAUCCCAAGCAUCUGGCAUCUUUCUUGACAUAUGUAGCAGUUGCUUUUUGACAGCUUGCUUCUUCAGUGAAUGAAUAAAUUAAUAAAGAGAAAUGUGAUGUUCAGUGAUCCAUUUUGCAGCAUUUAUUAAAUACUGGUGCAUAAUGAUGGAAUAAAUUUUAUACCGUAAGGAUAAACCAGUAUUCUGGACUAAGCCAACGUGGGAGACCCUAGGAGGCCUGUUUGAGAAAGUGACAUUUAAAUUGAGACUUGGCGGUGGCUGUGGCUACAUAUCUAAUUGCAAACUCCUAGAGAAGGGCUCAACAGUGAGUGCUGAGGCUGCACAGAGGAGGAAGGCAGCACAAUGAUGGAAGGCUUCCUAAAGAG
This 15867-nucleotide long non-coding RNA is filed under the name Homo sapiens (human). RNAcentral describes it as "HSALNT0143568". Lineage: Eukaryota; Metazoa; Chordata; Mammalia; Primates; Hominidae. The record is from RNAcentral.